RNAcentral lists this transfer RNA (73 nucleotides) under Thermodesulfitimonas autotrophica. It matches the Rfam family "tRNA". Rfam says of the family: Transfer RNA (tRNA) molecules are approximately 80 nucleotides in length. Lineage: Bacteria; Bacillati; Bacillota; Clostridia; Thermoanaerobacterales; Thermoanaerobacteraceae. The record is from Rfam by way of RNAcentral.
GUCCCGGUAGCUCAGCGGACAGAGCAGCGGCCUUCUAAGCCGCGGGUCGGGGGUUCGAAUCCCUCCCGGGACG